GGAGGAAUAGCGAAGUGGCUAAACGCGACGGACUGUAAAUCCGUUCCUUACAGUGGUUCGAAUCCACUUUCCUCCA
Molecule: transfer RNA, 76 nt
Filed under: Enterococcus faecalis
Lineage: Bacteria; Bacillati; Bacillota; Bacilli; Lactobacillales; Enterococcaceae
Description: tRNA-Tyr
Rfam family: tRNA
About the family: Transfer RNA (tRNA) molecules are approximately 80 nucleotides in length. Their secondary structure includes four short double-helical elements and three loops (D, anti-codon, and T loops).
Source: RNAcentral